Molecule: small RNA, 30 nt
Filed under: Bombyx mori (domestic silkworm)
Lineage: Eukaryota; Metazoa; Arthropoda; Insecta; Lepidoptera; Bombycidae
Description: ovarian small RNA-34948
Source: RNAcentral
UGGCUGUGUGGCCCUGCUUUGGCAGAGCAC